This is a long non-coding RNA of Haemorhous mexicanus (house finch), 1104 nucleotides long. RefSeq lists it as uncharacterized. The record is from RefSeq and is a predicted model, not a curated record. NCBI's taxonomy places the organism in Eukaryota, Metazoa, Chordata, Aves, Passeriformes, Fringillidae. The transcript has 5 exons.
AAGAUGUGAACUUACAGAAACAGGAUAUGCCAGCAGGGUUGACAGCAUGAAUGUCCCCUUCUCUCUCGUGUCAUUAGAACGAGAUGCAGCUGCCAGCUCAGGUGCCUGAUCCCAGAGCAGGACUGAAACAAAGGAGAAGCCCAGACGAGCUCUUGUUUUCCUUCUAAAUAGCUUGGUUUUGGUCUGCUUGUAAGCAAGCUGGGAUUUUGUCAGCUGUCCCCAGUACCCCUCUGAAGGAUUCUUUGUCUGCAGAGCUGCUGGGUGCCUGUCAGGCUGGUGGAGACAGAGGUUGUGUGGGUUUUUUUUUCAUCAUACUAAGCAUUUGUCAGGCUGCUUCUUUAUUGGAACGCUAUGAGGAAUGAUUCCCCAGAAGUCCCAGACUAAACUGGAAUUGUUAGGAACUCGUCAACAUAAAGACUGGGAUUUGGGUCAUAUUUCAGGGUGAGCUAGAAAGACAAGAACUGCACAGGAUGCUGAGAUGCCUCUGAAGGAAAUAUUGGCCUCAACCAAGCUGUCACACUGAAGUGUGUGGAAAGCUGGACUUGGGGCUGCCCAGCUGAACUUGCUAAACCAAGACAGCACCUUUCAACAGCUCCACAGUAACACUGGGUUUGUACGUACAUUUACAGAAUGUAUAGCAUCAUGUUCCAUGUGUUUACCUGUCUGUGCAUCCCUCCAAUCACUUUUGCUCAUUUCAAAUGAAUUUAAUGUAGGAGAAGGAGUUCCUAGGUAUUUUAGAUUAUUGCCAGUUUAUUUGUUAGGUGUGCAUCCAACAAGGAGCUACACAGAACAUGAUAGCUGGACAUGUUGUGAUGGCUCAUUUGUGAGACUGUGCUGCUGCUGUUCACUUGUAUUACCCUCACUCUCCCAUUGCUUACUGCUUUUAAAAGCAGCGUGAAGAGCAGGAGCAGCUGCUGCCAGGAAAGGAAGCUGCAGGAGCCGGAGGGACACACGUGAGGGAGUGCAAAGGCACAGGCUUUCUCUGCUGAUGACCUUGGCUUCUAGCACAUCCCAUGAUUACAGCAACUGCUUCUAGAGCUGGAACACAUGGGAGCUGAAACUACACAUCUUAUUUAGGACUCAGGGAAGGGAAAAAAAUCUGUC